RNAcentral lists this transfer RNA (55 nucleotides) under Loxodonta africana (African savanna elephant). The record is from Rfam by way of RNAcentral. Lineage: Eukaryota; Metazoa; Chordata; Mammalia; Proboscidea; Elephantidae.
GCACAGUGGUUAUGCGUUUGGCUGCUAACCAAAAGGUCAGCAGUUCGACUCUGCC